GACGAACCGUGCGAACGUUGUUCGGAAUCACUGGGCUUAAAGGGCGCGUAGGCGGGUCACCAAGUCCGGGGUGAAAUCUUUCGGCUUAACCGGAAAACUGCCUUGGAUACUGGUGACCUCGAGGGAGGUAGGGGUCUGUGGAACUUUUGGUGGAGCGGUGAAAUGCGUUGAUAUCAGAAGGAACGCCGGUGGCGAAAGCGACGGACUGGACCUCCACUGACGCUGAGGCGCGAAAGCUAGGGGAGCAAACGGG
RNAcentral lists this ribosomal RNA (253 nucleotides) under uncultured bacterium. RNAcentral's name for it is "partial 16S ribosomal RNA". It matches the Rfam family "Bacterial small subunit ribosomal RNA", at positions 524 to 776 of the family's 1533-position model. The record is from RNAcentral.